AGGACAAAUAAACUGAGGGAUCUAGAUGCUCUAUUGCAACAUCCUUUCUGAAUAAUGAAUGUGGGACUAUGCUUUGUACUGUCUUUUGUUUAGACUUCCAGUUUUUUAAGUCACAGCACAAUCCAUAUGAAUUGUCUCCAAUUCCACACCAUAACCUCGAAAGAACAGAAACUCCUACUCCCUUUCAUGUAAGAGAAUCAGACCUCAUACCAGGACCAGAGGUAACACCAGCAAGUUCACCUUUUCUCUGAGGAAGACAUUUUUCCAAUGGAUACAAAUCCUAAAUGGUUGUCCUUUGGCUGACUGACAGUAUGCACAUUCAGUUAUUGAUGGGCAAAAAUCCAACAGCAGCGUUCAGUCAAAGUCUGAACUCUGUGUGGAGCACCUCUGGAUAGUUUCCAAAGCCAUCAUUCUCUCUGUGGUGGCCAUAGAGACCUCAGAAACACCUUCAACUAGCUAAACACUUUGUCUUCUAGAAAUAAAAAUCUAUCUCUAUGGGAAAUCUGAAGAACUCUAUCAUGGAUGCAGCUAGUUUGGGUCAGCUUGAACAACGAAAAUGCAUAGACGCUCAAAAUCUAGGCACCGAACUGCAAGUUAACAGCACUGCAGAGGAAUAAUGAUUUCCUCUGAAGCUUGACUUUCCUGAGACAACUGUAUUAAUGUUUUGCUGUUUGCUGUAAGGAAAAAACUUCAACUGCAGCCCAGCAUGAUGAAAAUAUACCUUUUCAAGUGAAGCAUCAGAAACUCUUGAAGGAUCUGCCAGGUGCUUUUAAGCAAUAUUCAUUUAUAUGACAGCUAGGAUUCUAGUAUUAAGUAACUUCCCAAAUGCCUAAAGAACUUCCUCUAUAAGAAGCAUAAGAAAAAUUUCCAGAAAUACCAGCAGAUCUUUUUAAGUCUGUGCUUAAAAAUAAAAAUUAUUUAAGUGCUUUUUGUUUAGUCCUUUCCUACCUGCCAUUCUGUAAUUGCUUGGUAGGACUCCUCUCCCUUUUCUAAGGGUCAUUUAAAAUUCACAUACAGAGUGCGUGCUUUGUCAGUUAAGUUUCAUUUUCAGAGCAAAUCACUGUGUCCCUGGAUGAGAAUUCUUCCCCACAGAAAAGCCAGGAUGCACUUUUGGUUCCAAGAAUCAACAGAAAUUUAUGUAGCUUCAUGAAAGCAUAACACAAAAGACUCAUCU
This is a long non-coding RNA of Falco peregrinus (peregrine falcon), 1174 nucleotides long. RefSeq lists it as uncharacterized. The transcript is spliced from 5 exons. NCBI's taxonomy places the organism in Eukaryota, Metazoa, Chordata, Aves, Falconiformes, Falconidae. The record is from RefSeq and is a predicted model, not a curated record.